This 407-nucleotide ribosomal RNA is filed under the name uncultured prokaryote. RNAcentral describes it as "bacterial SSU rRNA". It matches the Rfam family "Bacterial small subunit ribosomal RNA", at positions 355 to 776 of the family's 1533-position model. RNAcentral also lists the same sequence under 1 other name. The record is from RNAcentral.
UGGGGAAUCUUCCGCAAUGGGCGCAAGCCUGACGGAGCAACGCCGCGUGAGUGAAGAAGGUUUUCGGAUUGUAAAACUCUGUCCAAAGGGAAGAAACAAAUGACGGUACCUUUGGAGGAAGCCCCGGCUAACUACGUGCCAGCAGCCGCGGUAAAACGUAGGGGGCAAGCGUUGUCCGGAAUUACUGGGCGUAAAGGGCGUGUAGGCGGCCCUGCAAGUCAGACGUGAAACCUAUCGGCUCAACUGAUAGCUUGCGAUUGAAACUGCAGAGCUUGAGUGCAGAAGAGGGGAGUGGAAUUCCCAGUGUAGCGGUGAAAUGCGUAGAUAUUGGGAGGAACACCGGUGGCGAAAGCGGCUCCCUGGCCUGUAACUGACGCUGAGGCGCGAAAGCGUGGGUAGCAAACAGG